This 253-nucleotide ribosomal RNA is filed under the name uncultured bacterium. RNAcentral describes it as "partial 16S ribosomal RNA". It matches the Rfam family "Bacterial small subunit ribosomal RNA", at positions 524 to 776 of the family's 1533-position model. The record is from RNAcentral.
UACAUGGGGUGCAAACGUUGCUCGGAAUUAUUGGGCGUAAAGCGUGCGUAGGUGGUUUGUUAAGUCUGAUGUGAAAGCCCUGGGCUCAACCUGGGAAUUGCAUUGGAUACUGGCAGGCUAGAGUGCGGUAGAGGAUGGCGGAAUUCCCGGUGUAGCAGUGAAAUGCGUAGAGAUCGGGAGGAACAUCUGUGGCGAAGGCGGCCAUCUGGACCAGCACUGACACUGAGGCACGAAAGCGUGGGGAGCAAACAGG